RNAcentral lists this ribosomal RNA (405 nucleotides) under uncultured Dekkera. RNAcentral describes it as "partial 26S ribosomal RNA". It matches the Rfam family "Eukaryotic large subunit ribosomal RNA", at positions 151 to 563 of the family's 3401-position model. The record is from RNAcentral. Lineage: Eukaryota; Fungi; Ascomycota; Saccharomycetes; Saccharomycetales; Saccharomycetaceae.
AGACGGGACMCUAGAGAGGAGGAAGGCGAUUAAGUGCCUUGGAACAGGCUGCCGUAGAGSGUGWGAGCCCCKUGAAUCGCUGRAGACCGAUCAAUUAGUGCCCGCCGAAGAGUCGAGUUGUUUGGGAAUGCAGCUCUAAGCGGGUGGUAUAUUCCAUCUAAGGCUAAAUAUUAGCGAGAGACCGAUAGCAAACAAGUACAGUGAUGGAAAGAUGAAAAGAACUUUGGAAAGAGAGUGAAAUAGUACGUGAAAUUGUUGAAAGGGAWGGGUAUUUGAUCCGACAUGGUGUUUAGCAGYSGCCCGUUCCUCGUGGAUGGGUGCACCUGGUUUACACUGGGCCAKCAUCGGUUCUGGGAGCCAUAUACRGGGUUCGUGAAUGYGGCCCUYCGAUUCUGUCGGAGGGUG